GGGGUCGACCGGUUUUGACAGCAGGUCGAAUUGAAUGGUAAGCACGUCGAGUAAGGGGAAAUAAACUCGUAAAACUUAGGUCUCAAACAUUUAAACGGCGAAAAUAACUACGCUCUUGCUGCUUAAUCUGAAUCAUAGUAAGAUGAGCCUCGCUCCUACCAGGUAGGAAAGCAGGAUUCUCCCGAAAAGCCUUGGUUUGUGGCGUUUCAUCAGGGGGAACCGUAAAAAUAAACCUAGGAAUGGUUUUGCUUCGCGGCCAUUCUGACAACUCAGAAGCUAAGCGUUGUGUGGCUGUUUCGGGCCUCGCACAAUGUCGAAAAUUCAAUCCGGAAAUAAACGUGUAGAAAGCUCUUUAGUUGCCUGUUUGGACGGGAGUUCGACUCUCCCCGACUCCACUU
This 398-nucleotide transfer-messenger RNA is filed under the name Flavobacterium sp. It matches the Rfam family "transfer-messenger RNA". Rfam says of the family: Bacterial tmRNA, also known as 10Sa RNA or SsrA, is named for its dual tRNA and mRNA-like properties. The record is from RNAcentral. Lineage: Bacteria; Pseudomonadati; Bacteroidota; Flavobacteriia; Flavobacteriales; Flavobacteriaceae. RNAcentral also lists the same sequence under 1 other name.